UACGGGGGGGGCAAGCGUUGUUCGGAAUUACUGGGCGUAAAGGGCUCGUAGGCGGCCAACUAAGUCCGACGUGAAAUCCCCAGGCUUAACCUGGGAACUGCGUCGGAUACUGGAUGGCUUGAAUUCGGGAGAGGGAUGCAGAAUUCCAGGUGUAGCGGUGAAAUGCGUAGAUAUCUGGAGGAACACCGGUGGCGAAGGCGGCAUCCUGGACCGAUACUGACGCUGAGGAGCGAAAGCCAGGGGAGCAAACGGG
This 253-nucleotide ribosomal RNA is filed under the name uncultured bacterium. Its description in RNAcentral is "partial 16S ribosomal RNA". It matches the Rfam family "Bacterial small subunit ribosomal RNA", at positions 524 to 776 of the family's 1533-position model. The record is from RNAcentral.